GGUGGUGGCUCAGUGGUACAGCACCUGCCUAGCAUGUGCAAGGAACUGGGUUCGAUUCUCAGCCCCA
Molecule: transfer RNA, 67 nt
Filed under: Marmota monax (woodchuck)
Lineage: Eukaryota; Metazoa; Chordata; Mammalia; Rodentia; Sciuridae
Description: tRNA.Ala
Source: RNAcentral